This 1270-nucleotide long non-coding RNA is filed under the name Marmota monax (woodchuck). Lineage: Eukaryota; Metazoa; Chordata; Mammalia; Rodentia; Sciuridae. The record is from RNAcentral.
GGAGGAUCCAGGUGGAGCAGCCCCUAUCUGCCACGUCCCUAUAGGCCUUUGCAAGAUCUUUAUCCUUUGCUUUGCUGAGCUGGGAAGUCACUGGAAGGUACUGAGUAGAGGGUUAAAAUAUUACAACUUAAAAAAAAUAGCUUCUCUCUAGCUGCCAAAUUAAGUAGAAUUUAGGAAAGCAAAAGUGGAUGUAGGAAGACCAACUGGGAAGUUAAGCAGUAACCCAAGUGAGAAACAAAGGUAGCUUAAAAAAAGGUUACAGAAGAGAUGAUAAGAAGCUGUCUGUAUUUCAGAUUUUAUUUUUUGUUUGUUUGUUUUGGUUUUGGUGCUGGGGGUUGAACAUAUACAUGCUAAGCUCUACUACUGAGCUAUACCUCAAGACCUGCCAUAUUUUUUGAUGAUAAAUGCUAAGAAUUUACCACCAUACUUAAUAGUAAAACAGUGGAGAAAAUUCCCAUAGAAACACAAAUAAGGAAUAAGGACCUUAUUUAAUAUUGUACUCAAGUUUAUACAAUGCAAUUAGGCAAAAUAAGUAAAAGAGAAGUAUAAGACUUUGCAAGUGGAAAUAUUGGCAGGUUACAAAACACAAGACAAUCAACUGCAAAACUACUAUAAAGAUACCUCCAGCUUGCACUCUGCCAGACCAUGUUCCACUACAGGGCUGUGUCCUUUCAUGCCUCAUUUACGCAAGGCAAGGACUGAUGAGAGCUUUUGUGCCAUUACUAUAUAGCACACAUAUUUCCCUUGACAAUCAACAUCAAUAACCUUGGAUGCAAUGUAAUACCAUUUCUGUCUUUGGUCCAGUGGCAUUAAAAGCCCCAAAUGGAAAGAAAGUAAUCUCAGAGUUUGAUUUAUGGAAUCAUUAUUGGUUCCCUUGCCUUUAGUGGGAUCAUUCUUCUCUUCAGCAGUAACCUCUCUAAACCAACAGAGCCUAAAGUCACAAGGAAGGAAAGCAAAACCACUAGGUUUAAGAGCAAGAAGUCCUCCUACUAUUUUGGUCUCUGAUCCAUAAGUUCUAAGGAAACCAGUCCUGAACAUUAAUUGCUUGGUUAUAAUAUAAACUUAUAUAAAUUUAGAGGUAGUGUUUCCCAGGCAGUGUGGUGACUGACUCUUCCAUAGGCCAGGGGCCUCCACGUUAAUUCUGUCAGAACCUUCACCAGUUAUGUGCAUAUUGUGAUCUUGCCUGCCAUGCUGAGUACCAUUGGAUCUACUGGGUCCCACACAUCAGACAGGGUCUGAUCAGAGAAGCAGAGCCUCUAGAUAAGUGAUU